AGAAUACGUAAAUUUUAUUUCCUGGGUAUUAUUAGAUAUGUUCUUGAAACUUUAAAAAUUUGGCGGUAUUUUAUUCUAUUCAGAGGAACCUGUCCUAUAAUCGAUAAUCCACGAUGGACCUUACUUAAAUUUGUUACAAUUUAUAUACCGUUGUUAUAAGAAAAUUUUUAAAGAAUAAUAAUUUUCGUUAAUUAAAAUUAUAAUUUAUAUCAGAUAAAGGUGUAGUUUAUAUUUAAGUAGAGAUGGGUUACAAUAAAUUUAUUUAUACGGAUUUUUUUAUGAAAUUUAAAAAUGAAGGUGGAUUUGAUUGUAAAAAAUUAUAGAUUAAAUUUUUGAAAUUAGCUCUAAAAUAUGUAC
Molecule: ribosomal RNA, 357 nt
Filed under: Parazodion schmidti
Lineage: Eukaryota; Metazoa; Arthropoda; Insecta; Diptera; Conopidae
Description: partial 12S ribosomal RNA
Source: RNAcentral